This 98-nucleotide non-coding RNA is filed under the name Croceibacterium atlanticum. Its description in RNAcentral is "Altererythrobacter atlanticus Glycine sequence". It matches the Rfam family "Glycine riboswitch aptamer". From Rfam's summary of the family: This family represents the bacterial glycine riboswitch. Lineage: Bacteria; Pseudomonadati; Pseudomonadota; Alphaproteobacteria; Sphingomonadales; Erythrobacteraceae. The record is from Rfam by way of RNAcentral.
GUUCGUGUCGUGGGAGAGCCUGUUCUUUCUCUGGAAAGAGCAGCGCCGAAGGAGCAACCGCCCCGGAAACUCUCAGGCGAAAGGACCUCGGCACGGUC